UCAGCUCACUACCUUCUCUACCUCCUGGUUUCAAGCGAUUCUCUUGCCUCAGCCUCUGGAGUAGCUGGGAUUACAGGUGCCUGCCACCACACCAGAAUUUCUGUGUUGCGAGGAGAGGGACUCAAGAUGGCGCUGUGAGAACAACCCAGGAUUGGAGCUCUUCUCGUUGAAUCCGCAAAUGGUGAGUCAGAGCGGCAUUUCCAGACUGAUCUUUGUUGCCCACAGAACGGGGAAACUCCCAAGUAUAAAAAAGACACGGGACGCCAGGCAGUAGGUCUGCCUGGCGAAGCCGGCAGCCGGGGCGGCGGCGGCCGGCCCUACCCAGCAAUCCCCACAGGGCGCGC
This 344-nucleotide long non-coding RNA is filed under the name Callithrix jacchus (white-tufted-ear marmoset). RNAcentral's name for it is "lncRNA (ENSCJAG00000085106.1)". Lineage: Eukaryota; Metazoa; Chordata; Mammalia; Primates; Cebidae. The record is from RNAcentral.